UACAGAGGGUGCGAGCGUUAAUCGGAAUUACUGGACGUAAAGGGCGCGUAGGCGGACAGUUUAGUCAGAGGUAAAAGCCCAGGGCUCAACCUUGGAACUGCCUUUGAUACUGGCUGUCUUGAGUUCGGGAGAGGUGAGUGGAAUGCCGAGUGUAGAGGUGAAAUUCGUAGAUAUUCGGCGGAACACCAGUGGCGAAGGCGACUCACUGGCCCGAUACUGACGCUGAGGCGCGAAAGCGUGGGGAGCAAACAGG
Molecule: ribosomal RNA, 253 nt
Filed under: uncultured bacterium
Lineage: Bacteria
Description: partial 16S ribosomal RNA
Rfam family: Bacterial small subunit ribosomal RNA
Source: RNAcentral